UAGAAAGUAGUGUAGUGGGAGCACUAGGAGUUUUGAUCUCCUACGGAUAGGUUCGAGUCCUAUCUUUCUAA
This 71-nucleotide transfer RNA is filed under the name Kaupichthys hyoproroides (false moray). RNAcentral's name for it is "tRNA-Gln". It matches the Rfam family "tRNA". Rfam says of the family: Transfer RNA (tRNA) molecules are approximately 80 nucleotides in length. Their secondary structure includes four short double-helical elements and three loops (D, anti-codon, and T loops). Lineage: Eukaryota; Metazoa; Chordata; Actinopteri; Anguilliformes; Chlopsidae. The record is from RNAcentral.